UCAACAGGAGCCACUCUUCCAAUUGCACUCUCACCAAAAUCUGCCAUAAGAGUAUCUGUUUUCCGAACAGGAUCGUGAAGAACUUUAAAGCUAGCUGGCAUUACCCCUUCCCCGAGCUUGAAUCUAUCUAUUCUCUUUUCCCACCCUUGAAGAUGUAGUGUCUUCAAAAGGAAGUUCUUAACUAUCUCAGGCUCACCAUUCAUCAGAAAAGCCAGGGCACUAGGCACAAAAUCUCGAACAAAAACCUGAUCAUAGUUCAAAACCUCCUCUGAGGCAUGGUCAAUUGCAGCAAUUGUGCCAACCGGUUGGCCUCUGAAGUACACUAUGGACCGUCUUAGUGCUUCCCAGGCAUCAGCCACCAUUGGGUGUGGCUCAAAAGAGUUGCGAGCUGAUGAGACUGGCGUGUCUAAUCCUGACCUGCCUCCAGGGGAAUAAGUGAUCUCACAGUAAUCAAGACCUCCUCUGGUGAGCCCAAUUGAGAGCUCACUGAGUGACCUCUCAUCAAAUGAUCUCUGCCUCUCAAUGUUCAGCCUCGGCUUGUCCAGUAGGCGAGAGAGAUCAAAAUCGUCCAUUUCAGAGAUUGAACAUGUUGAGCUCACAUUCCUAAGUCCCACCUCUUUAGUCCCAUCCAUAUGUUUAUAUCUUUCUAUCCUUGAAAAUUGCACCGACUACUUGGUUCUAUCACCAAUGAGAAGAUGUCCAGCUUUAAGGAUGCUAAUGUUCAAACACAAACCAGAAAUAGAAAAGGCAAGCUCAAAAGAUUUG
This 765-nucleotide unclassified non-coding RNA is filed under the name Hevea brasiliensis (rubber tree). The record is from RNAcentral. Lineage: Eukaryota; Viridiplantae; Streptophyta; Magnoliopsida; Malpighiales; Euphorbiaceae.